GAUGAACGCUGGCGACGUGCUUAACACAUGCAAGUCGAACGGAAAGGCUCCUGCUUGCAGGGGUACUCGAGUGGCGAACGGGUGAGUAACACGUGGGUGAUCUGCCCUGCACUUCGGGAUAAGCCUGGGAAACUGGGUCUAAUACCGGAUAGGACCACAUUUUGGAUGGUGUGGUGGAAAGUUUUUCGGUGUGGGAUGAGCUCGCGGCCUAUCAGCUUGUUGGUGGGGUAAUGGCCUACCAAGGCGUCGACGGGUAGCCGGCCUGAGAGGGUGUACGGCCACAUUGGGACUGAGAUACGGCCCAGACUCCUACGGGAGGCAGCAGUGGGGAAUAUUGCACAAUGGGCGCAAGCCUGAUGCAGCGACGCCGCGUGGGGGAUGACGGCCUUCGGGUUGUAAACUCCUUUCGCUAGGGACGAAGCGUUUUUGUGACGGUACCUGGAGAAGAAGCACCGGCUAACUACGUG
RNAcentral lists this ribosomal RNA (467 nucleotides) under uncultured bacterium. RNAcentral describes it as "partial 16S ribosomal RNA". It matches the Rfam family "Bacterial small subunit ribosomal RNA", at positions 28 to 507 of the family's 1533-position model. The record is from RNAcentral.